UACAGAGAGUGCAAACGUUGUUCGGAAUUACUGGGCGUAAAGCGCACGUAGGCGGAUUUGUAAGUCAGGGGUGAAAUCCCGGGGCUCAACCUCGGAACUGCCUUUGAUACUGCAAAUCUCGAGUCCGGAAGAGGUGAGUGGAAUUCCUAGUGUAGAGGUGAAAUUCGUAGAUAUUAGGAAGAACACCAGUGGCGAAGGCGGCUCACUGGUCCGGUACUGACGCUGAGGUGCGAAAGCGUGGGGAGCAAACAGG
RNAcentral lists this ribosomal RNA (253 nucleotides) under uncultured bacterium. RNAcentral's name for it is "partial 16S ribosomal RNA". It matches the Rfam family "Bacterial small subunit ribosomal RNA", at positions 524 to 776 of the family's 1533-position model. The record is from RNAcentral.